CCUACGGGUGGCAGCAGUGAGGAAUAUUGGUCAAUGGGCGGGAGCCUGAACCAGCCAAGCCGCGUGAGGGAAGAAGGUACAGCGUAUCGUAAACCUCUUUUGUCAGGGAACAAAGGCGGGGACUCGUCCCAGGAUGAGGGUACCUGAAGAAAAAGCAUCGGCUAACUCCGUGCCAGCAGCCGCGGUAAUACGGGGGAUGCGAGCGUUAUCCGGAUUGAUGGGGGUUAAAGGGUGCGAAGGCGGACUGUUAAGUCAGCGGUAAAAGCCCGGGGCUCAACCCCGGCGAGCCGUUGAAACUGGGGGGCUGGAGUUGGGGAGAGGUAGGCGGAAUGCGCGGUGUAGCGGUGAAAUGCUUAGAUAUCGCGCAGAACCCCGAUUGCGAAGGCAGCGUACCGGCUCCACACUGACGCUGAGGCACGAAAGCGUGGGUAUCGAACAGGAUUAGAUACCCGAGUAGUC
RNAcentral lists this ribosomal RNA (459 nucleotides) under uncultured bacterium. RNAcentral's name for it is "partial 16S ribosomal RNA". It matches the Rfam family "Bacterial small subunit ribosomal RNA", at positions 338 to 795 of the family's 1533-position model. The record is from RNAcentral.